RNAcentral lists this ribosomal RNA (352 nucleotides) under uncultured soil bacterium. RNAcentral's name for it is "bacterial SSU rRNA". It matches the Rfam family "Bacterial small subunit ribosomal RNA", at positions 26 to 389 of the family's 1533-position model. The record is from RNAcentral.
AGAUUGAACGCUGGCGGCAUGCCUAACACAUGCAAGUCGAACGGGAGUAGCAAUACUCUAGUGGCGGACGGGUGAGGAAUACGUAGGAAUUUGCCCUUAAGUGGGGGAUAACCCGGGGAAACCCGGAUUAAUACCGCAUGACCUCGAAAGAGCAAAGUGGGGGAUCGCAAGACCUCACGCUUUUGGAGAAGCCUACGUCGGAUUAGCUAGUUGGUGAGGUAAUGGCUCACCAAGGCGACGAUCCGUAACUGGUCUGAGAGGAUGAUCAGUCACACCGGAACUGAGACACGGUCCGGACUCCUACGGGAGGCAGCAGUGGGGAAUAUUGGACAAUGGGGCGCAAGCCUGAUCC